Molecule: ribosomal RNA, 510 nt
Filed under: Eucephalacris borellii
Lineage: Eukaryota; Metazoa; Arthropoda; Insecta; Orthoptera; Acrididae
Description: partial 16S ribosomal RNA
Rfam family: Archaeal large subunit ribosomal RNA
Source: RNAcentral
GUUCUCUCGAAUUGUUAAUUUGAGGUUUGGCCUGCUCACUGAUUAAUAUUAAAGAGCCGCGGUAUAUUAACCGUGCAAAGGUAGCAUAAUCAUUAGUUUCUUAAUUAGAGGCUGGUAUGAAUGGUUUGACGAGAAAUCUACUGUCUCUUAUUAAAUUUUUGAAUUUAACUUUUAAGUUAAAAGGCUUAAAUUUUUUUUUAGGACGAGAAGACCCUAUAGAGCUUAACAUUUUACUUUUAUAUGUUUUUUGGUUAAUUUUUUCAUAUAUAAUGUUGAUGUUUUGUUGGGGUGGCAUGAAGGAUUAAUAAACUCUUCAUUAUAAUAUCAUUUAUUUAUGUAAAUUUAAUGAUCCAUAAUUUUUGAUUAUAAGAUUAAGUUACCUUAGGGAUAACAGCGUAAUUGCUUUUGAGAGCUCAUAUCGACAAAGCAGAUUGCGACCUCGAUGUUGGAUUAAGAAAAAUGUUGGGUGCAGUAAUUCAAUAAUUAGGUCUGUUCGACCUUUAAAUUCUU